This 76-nucleotide transfer RNA is filed under the name Planctomycetota bacterium. Its description in RNAcentral is "Planctomycetes bacterium tRNA-Thr". It matches the Rfam family "tRNA". Rfam says of the family: Transfer RNA (tRNA) molecules are approximately 80 nucleotides in length. Their secondary structure includes four short double-helical elements and three loops (D, anti-codon, and T loops). Lineage: Bacteria; Pseudomonadati; Planctomycetota. The record is from RNAcentral.
GCCAGCGUAGCUCAGUUGGCAGAGCACCUGAUUUGUAAUCAGGCGGUCGCGAGUUCGAGUCUCGCCGCUGGCUCCA